UGGGCGAAACAGGGAGCCUUUCCUGUGGA
RNAcentral lists this non-coding RNA (29 nucleotides) under Homo sapiens (human). The record is from RNAcentral. Lineage: Eukaryota; Metazoa; Chordata; Mammalia; Primates; Hominidae.